Molecule: ribosomal RNA, 490 nt
Filed under: uncultured bacterium
Lineage: Bacteria
Description: partial 16S ribosomal RNA
Rfam family: Bacterial small subunit ribosomal RNA
Source: RNAcentral
AUUGAACGCUGGCGGCAUGCCUUACACAUGCAAGUCGAACGGCAGCAUGAUCUAGCUUGCUAGAUUGAUGGCGAGUGGCGAACGGGUGAGUAAUACAUCGGAACGUGCCCUGUAGUGGGGGAUAACUAGUCGAAAGAUUAGCUAAUACCGCAUACGACCUGAGGGUGAAAGUGGGGGACCGCAAGGCCUCAUGCUAUAGGAGCGGCCGAUGUCUGAUUAGCUAGUUGGUGAGGUAAAGGCUCACCAAGGCGACGAUCAGUAGCUGGUCUGAGAGGAGGAUCAGCCACACUGGGACUGAGACACGGCCCAGACUCCUACGGGAGGCAGCAGUGGGGAAUUUUGGACAAUGGGCGAAAGCCUGAUCCAGCAAUGCCGCGUGUGUGAAGAAGGCCUUCGGGUUGUAAAGCACUUUUGUCCGGAAAGAAAUGGCUCUGGUUAAUACCUGGGGUCGAUGACGGUACCGGAAGAAUAAGGACCGGCUAACUACGUG